This 496-nucleotide long non-coding RNA is filed under the name Ficedula albicollis (Collared flycatcher). RNAcentral's name for it is "lncRNA (ENSFALG00000024128.1)". Lineage: Eukaryota; Metazoa; Chordata; Aves; Passeriformes; Muscicapidae. The record is from RNAcentral.
AGCUGAAGCAUGUCCCAAGAAAGAGGCACUCUAACAGCAAAUGGCCCUCUCAUUUCAGCACCACUGACCAUGAAGCAUCAAGGUCAGAAAACAGAGAAAUGCAGAGCGAAGUGAGCCCCCCUUUUAAAGCAUGGAAUUGGAGUUUCAAAGUGCAGCCAUCCAACCUGGAUAAACAGCAACAUUUUGCACAGGUCCCUGGAAUGUUUCAAAAAGCUGAUACUGAAGAAUUAUUGACAUGAAGGCCUCUUACAUUGCUGGAUUACAGAUACCUUAAUGAACCCACCCUAUGGGGGGGGUCAGAUUUUGAUCCCAGUGGUGUAAACCUGGAGUAGUGGAUUUUAGUGAAUUUCAGUGGGAUACCUCUAAAAAAAUCCAUGUAUAAUGAAAAUAAAACAUUUUUAAAGCAAUACAUUUUUUUACUGCUAAGCUGCCCCAUCCUUCAGUCUCAAAAUUUUUUGGGGAUUCUCAUGUUGGUUUGAUAUGGCAGAGCAAGAGG